AUCAAAGAUUAUUUUUAUAUCUUCAAUGACUAAGCCGAUCAAAGGCCGUCUUCUAUUUUCAAUGAUUAAGCUGAUCAAAGAUCAUUUUUAUAUCUUUGAUGACAAAGUCGAUUAAAGGCAAUCUUUAAUUUUCUGCAGAUCGACAAGCAGACAAGAAACUGCUAUUUUUAGGAAAAAAAAUUCAUUGAGGAAAGUCAUGGAUAUAUUACUGAUAGUAGA
RNAcentral lists this long non-coding RNA (219 nucleotides) under Elaeis guineensis (African oil palm). RNAcentral describes it as "long non-coding RNA (EGUI_LNC031654)". The record is from RNAcentral. Lineage: Eukaryota; Viridiplantae; Streptophyta; Magnoliopsida; Arecales; Arecaceae.